This 733-nucleotide ribosomal RNA is filed under the name uncultured bacterium. RNAcentral's name for it is "bacterial SSU rRNA". It matches the Rfam family "Bacterial small subunit ribosomal RNA", at positions 57 to 785 of the family's 1533-position model. The record is from RNAcentral.
GCAAGUCGAGCGGAUGACAGGAGCUUGCUCCUGAAUUCGGCGGCGGACGGGUGAGUAAUGCCUANGAAUCUGCCUGGUAGUGGGGGACAACGUUUCGAAAGGAACGCUAAUACCGCAUACGUCCUACGGGAGAAAGCAGGGGACCUUCGGGCCUUGCGCUAUCAGAUGAGCCUAGGUCGGAUUAGCUAGUUGGUGAGGUAAUGGCUCACCAAGGCGACGAUCCGUAACUGGUCUGAGAGGAUGAUCAGUCACACUGGAACUGAGACACGGUCCAGACUCCUACGGGAGGCAGCAGUGGGGAAUAUUGGACAAUGGGCGAAAGCCUGAUCCAGCCAUGCCGCGUGUGUGAAGAAGGUCUUCGGAUUGUAAAGCACUUUAAGUUGGGAGGAAGGGCAUUAACCUAAUACGUUAGUGUUUUGACGUUACCGACAGAAUAAGCACCGGCUAACUCUGUGCCAGCAGCCGCGGUAAUACAGAGGGUGCGAGCGUUAAUCGGAAUUACUGGGCGUAAAGCGCGCGUAGGCGGCUUGUUAAGUCAAAUGUGAAAUCCCCGAGCUUAACUUGGGCAUUGCAUUCGAUACUGGCAAGCUAGAGUAUGGGAGAGGAAGGUAGAAUUCCAGGUGUAGCGGUGAAAUGCGUAGAGAUCUGGAGGAAUACCGAUGGCGAAGGCAGCCUUCUGGCCUAAUACUGACGCUGAGGUGCGAAAGCAUGGGGAGCAAACAGGAUUAGAUAC